AUGGUGACGACUUGGUUGAUCAAUGCGACAAAAUCAAAUCUACACAACAACAUCUCACAUGCUUCAACGACUCAAGAUGUAUGGGCAGAUCUUGAAGAACGCUUUGCUCAAACCAAUGCACCGCAAAUCCAUCAGCUAUGGAGAAACUUGUGUUUAAUGCAUAAACAACCAAAAACAAACGUAACAUAUUACUACACUCAAUUCAAAAGUUUUGUUGAUGAAUUGAGUGAAUUGCAAACCCUACCUGAAUGCAAUUGUGAGCUUUUAAUGUGUUGA
Vicia faba (fava bean) is the source of this 276-nucleotide non-coding RNA. The record is from the annotation of a GenBank genome assembly. NCBI's taxonomy places the organism in Eukaryota, Viridiplantae, Streptophyta, Magnoliopsida, Fabales, Fabaceae.